UUUCUUUUUGUUUGUUAGGUUGAAGAGCUAUUGUUUCAGUUCGUCCAUGACCCUUAUGGGGUUGUGGGGGAUGUUGCACUCAGAGAACUUGUUUCUUGCAGUAGUAGGAUGAACUGGAUCAGAUAUUGGAAGUGGUACUGUCACAUAUCCUGGCAUCUGCUCAGGUAUGACUGGUUUUGAAUUUGGGACCUUAUACUUUAUGAAUUGUAAUAUGUAUUCUGAUAUAACUGUUAUAUUUAAGCGUUGUCAUUUGCCCCAUACUGAUUAAAAACGACAACAAACGACAGUUCUAAUUAUGUUUUCACAUGUCCACAAUUCAAGUUAAUCAACCUUGGUGAAACUUGAACAUGUAGCUUCCAACCAGCUUAAGGAAAAGGUGUGCUGCCAAUUUCCCGAGCCUUAUUCUAAUCCAUAAUUUUCACUCAAAUCACUUGAUUCAUAUUCGUAAUUUAGUGCCUAUAUAUUUUAUUUUCUGUUAUCACUGAAACUGUGUGUGUUCGCCCUCUGAAAAAAUUUACUGGUCCAUAUCCAUGAUAUCUUGGUACAUGAUGUUGUUAUCCAAAACAAGACAGAAGAUAUUUGCAUUAGUAAAUUUAUAGUUCUAGCUGAUGGAUUGUCCAAAGGAGAAAAAUUUAGUUUAAAUAACAACACUUAUGUGGAUGUUUCUUAUUGGCUAGUUUUGACAUGGAGAGCUACAUCUGAUUUUUCCUACUUGUAUUUCUAUUCCAUUAUACUUUUCAGGAGCACGUGAAGCUCGCAUGUCAUUGUACUAAGAACUAUAUUUCACAUAACUAUACUAACUUGACGCAAUUUCAGCCUGCAGCAUGGCACAUGAGUCUUCGACAUCAUUGAGGAUUUCUGCAUCGGCAAAUUGGAAGACUGAUGUGGAAUAGGAGAGGAUGUAAAAGCUCCCAAGUGUGAACCCAUGUGCUCGUCUACAAUUCCUUGAAGAUGAUGAGAACGAACAAAACCAUUUCGUAAUUGUGAUGAGGACUGCUCCAGGGCCCAGCUUUGUGGUUCUGAUCACAUGUUUGACCUCCUGCUUACUCUGGUACAUGGUCUCCAUCCACCCAUCGUCAACAUAUGGCCUCGCCGGAUCGCCAGACAACACCGUCGUCUACGUCUGUCUCGCCUGACAGGCACUGUCCUCGACCUCUGCGUCACAGUUAAUUGUGUACUAGUAAUUCCUUUGGAGAACUUGUUACAGUUAUUCUAACUCCGCCAUGUAUCCAUGAACUUGUUAGAUUCUGAAUAUGUAAUUUUCCAGACAGUCGGGUAGCAUUCAAGUGCUCCGUAUGCGCCAACACUCUCAAAAUUCACUUCCUUUUCUGCUCUUUUGCUCCCUGAGACACAACUCUGACUGACUUAUUCAUGUCUUAGAGCAUCUGCAAC
Molecule: long non-coding RNA, 1392 nt
Filed under: Triticum aestivum (bread wheat)
Lineage: Eukaryota; Viridiplantae; Streptophyta; Magnoliopsida; Poales; Poaceae
Description: long non-coding RNA (TAES_LNC004921)
Source: RNAcentral